GAUGAACGCUGGCGGCGUGCCUAAUACAUGCAAGUCGAGCGAACAGACGAGGAGCUUGCUCCUCUGACGUUAGCGGCGGACGGGUGAGUAACACGUGGAUAACCUACCUAUAAGACUGGGAUAACUUCGGGAAACCGGAGCUAAUACCGGAUAAUAUAUUGAACCGCAUGGUUCAAUAGUGAAAGACGGUUUUGCUGUCACUUAUAGGUGGAUCCGCGCCGCAUUAGCUAGUUGGUAAGGUAACGGCUUACCAAGGCAACGAUGCGUAGCCGACCUGAGAGGGUGAUCGGCCACACUGGAACUGAGACACGGUCCAGACUCCUACGGGAGGCAGCAGUAGGGAAUCUUCCGCAAUGGGCGAAAGCCUGACGGAGCAACGCCGCGUGAGUGAUGAAGGUCUUCGGAUCGUAAAACUCUGUUAUUAGGGAAGAACAAAUGUGUAAGUAACUAUGCACGUCUUGACGGUACCUAAUCAUAAAGCCACGGCUAACUACGUG
This 497-nucleotide ribosomal RNA is filed under the name uncultured bacterium. Its description in RNAcentral is "partial 16S ribosomal RNA". It matches the Rfam family "Bacterial small subunit ribosomal RNA", at positions 28 to 507 of the family's 1533-position model. The record is from RNAcentral.